RNAcentral lists this ribosomal RNA (253 nucleotides) under uncultured bacterium. RNAcentral describes it as "partial 16S ribosomal RNA". It matches the Rfam family "Bacterial small subunit ribosomal RNA", at positions 524 to 776 of the family's 1533-position model. The record is from RNAcentral.
UACGUAGGGGGCUAGCGUUGUCCGGAAUCAUUGGGCGUAAAGCGCGUGUAGGCGGUCCGGUAAGUCCGCUGUGAAAGUCGGGGGCUCAACCCUCGGAUGCCGGUGGAUACUGGAAGGCUUGAGUUCGGGAGAGGGAUGUGGAAUUCCAGGUGUAGCGGUGAAAUGCGUAGAUAUCUGGAGGAACACCGGUGGCGAAGGCGGCAUCCUGGACCGAAACUGACACUGAGGCGCGAAAGCCAGGGGAGCAAACGGG